Oxyura jamaicensis (ruddy duck) is the source of this 1427-nucleotide long non-coding RNA. RefSeq lists it as uncharacterized. The transcript is spliced from 3 exons. The record is from RefSeq and is a predicted model, not a curated record. Lineage: Eukaryota; Metazoa; Chordata; Aves; Anseriformes; Anatidae.
AAUGAGUUUCAUCACAACACAAGUGAGCACGUGUGAACACAUGUGUUGUCACCCAAUACCCGAAAAAUGCAUGGAAAUGUGUUUUGUCACCAAACAUGUGAACACACAUGAAGAUGCGUGUUGUCACCCAGUAUCUGAAAAACACAUGGAAAUGCAUUUCAUCACCAAACACAAGCACACAUGAACAUACGUGUUACCACAAUAUGACCAAAAAUGUUUGAAAAUGCAUUUAGUCACAGCAUGGCUGAACAAGCCUGAAGACGCGUGUUUUCAUCAAAUGCCUGAAAACACAUUCAAAUGCUUUUCUUCAUAACAUGCCUGAACAGGCGUGAAAAUGUGUUUUGUCACAACACAUGUGAACAUGUGUGAACACACAUGAACACCUGUGUUGUCAUCCUAUGCAUGAAAACACAUGAAAAUGCACCUGAACAGGCAUGAAAAUGUUUCGUCACAACACAUCUGAACACGUGUUGCCACCAGUUGCCUGAAAAUGAGUUCAAAUGCUUUCCUUCACAACAUAACUGAACACACAUGAACACAAAUGAACACCCAUAAUGUCACCAUAUAACUGAAAAUGCAUUUCAUCACAACACGUGAACACAUGUGAACCCGCAUGUUGUCACCACAUACCUGAAAAACAUGUGAAAAUACAUUUCAUCACAACACACCUGAACAUGCAGUAACACAUGUAUUGUCCCCAAAUGCCUGAAAACGUGUUCAAAUGUGUUUCUUCACAACAUACCUGAAAACGCGUGAGCACACAUGAACAUGUGUAUUGUCACUCUAUGCCUGAAAAACACAUGGAAAUGUGUUUCAUCACCAAACAUGUGAACACACAUGAACAUGUGUUGUCUCCAUAUGACAGAAAACACAUGAAAAUGCAUUUCAUCACAACACACGAGUAUGCGUGAACGUGUGUAUAGUAACGAAAUGCCUGAAAACGCUUGAAAAUGACUGAAAAUACUUGAAAAUGCUUUUUGUCACAACACAUGAAAGCACACGUCGACACGUGUGUUGUCAUAUGACUGAAAAUGUGUGAAAAUGAUUUUGUCACAACAUGCCUGAACAGACGUGAAAACAUGUGUUGUCACCAAAUGCCUGAAAACAUGUUGGAGACGUGGUGAGACAGCGUACAUGACUGGAACGCUCUCAUGGAGGCCUAUGUCCUUUUUAGGAAAGACAGCCUGGGGAAGCGAGGGGGAGGAGAUGCCCUUUAUGUGAGAGAUAAACUAGAAUGUACCCAGCUCCACCUGGGUGGGGGGGGGGUGUGAAGGAGUGGAGAGCUUGUGGGUGAGAAUUAAGGGGCGGGCUGGUAUGGGUGACACUGUUGUGGGAGUGUACUACAGAGUGUACCAGAUCAGGAGGAGGAGUUUGACGAGGCCUUCUACAAGCAGCUGGAAGUAGCCUUGUGAUCCCAGGUGCUUGUU